GCCAAAAUCGCGCCAUUGCACUCCAGCCUGGGCAACAAGAGCAAAAUAACUCCAUCUCAAAAAAAAAAAAAAAAUACUCGAGACUGGGUGAUUUACAAAGGAAGAGAAGUUUAAUGGACUCACAGUUCCAUGUGGCUGGGAGGCCUCACAAUCAUGGCGGAAGGCAAAAGGCAUGUCUUACAUGGAGGCAGACAAGAGAGAAAAUGAGAACAAAGUGAAAGGGGUUUCCCCUUAUAAAACCAUCAGAUCUCGUGAGACUUAUUCACUACCUCAAGAAUAGUAUGGGGGAACCGCCCCCAUGAUUCAAUUAUCUCCCACCUGGUCCCUCCCACACACGUGGGAAUUAUGGGAGCUACAAUUCAAGAUGAGAUUUGGGUGGGGACACAGCCAAACCAUAUCAGUGUGAUUUUGAGAACUGUUUCCAAUUGGUACAGCCCUCAAGCCUUGUUCUCAAACCUUCUCAGAAGUCUGUGAGUCAUCCAGUAUAUAAUCAAUAAAUUCUGAUUCUACUUAGAUCACCUAGGUUAUGUUUCUUUGUUUGCAAAUAAGAACUCUGGCUGAUAUAUGUCCCAUAUCCUGUCCUGGGUAUAAAAAUCUCUAGGUUCCUGUUUGGAUGAUUAGGAAGUGACCUGUUAGUUAAUGUAUGGUCUUCAUGUCAUCCAAGAAGGGAAGGCCAUGAAAGAGUGACUGUGGUCAGUUAGUCAAAAGUCGUAACUGCAUGGCGAGCCUGGGCUGGCUGGCCAUACUUUGACCAACGCUGAUUCACCUACACCACUGGCUGGGGUGGCAGCCCACAGCAAAGAGCUGUGAUCAGUGGCCACCACUUACAACUCAUUACUCUAUAGCACGGUGGCAAUCUUAACUCUAGAGGACCAACACAAGCAAUUCUCCUCUGUAUACUGAAGAAAAUUGUAGUAGAAAUUCCAACACCUAUUCUGAGAAACCCAACGUGCAUUUUCCACCUUGAAAUAAACAUUUUACAUGCAAUGGUCUUAAUAAUGGUCAUUAGUGAGCUGUAGUAAGCAACCCUGAUGGAUAGCCCAUCUGGUCGGAAGCCUGGCUUGCUGUCCCAGCCCUGCCUGCUCCUAGAUUUGGAUUCUGGAAUGCAAAUCAGCACCCAAUUUCUGAAUAUUUUCUCAUCCCUUGUUGCUGAGUUUGUCUUGCUUACUUAUAUCCCUCCUCUCUCUCUCUCUCUCUCUCUCUCUCUCUCUCUCUCUUUUCCUCCCUUCUACUUCCAUGACAUCCCUGCUCUCUGAUAUAAGAAGAAUGAGGAAGAAUAGGUUAAGAGGGAGAAGGAACACUUUCCAGCAGAGGAAAUGUGCAGAACACCCAAAGAUGAGCAAAUUCAGGCUGGAGGACAUUUAGGAAACUACAAGUAAUUCCACUGGAUGUGAAGCCAGAAACUGUGUGAAGGGCAUUGGCAAGAGAUAAGGAAACUCCGGCAUACAGAAGUUACACAACUUGCCCAAGUCAUGUAGUGAGGAAGAGGCAGAGCUGGGGUGUGAACGAGGACCCUAAGCAAAGCUACUGAACUUGGACUUCCACCUGAGAGCUACAGAAGACCUUUAAAGAGGAGAGGGAUCUGAUUGGCCUGUACUUUAGAGAGAUUGUAGGAUGCCAGUGUGUCCCCUGAUGCCAAUAACAAGACUGAAACUGAGGAUGUUUGGGAGUUAACACUCGAAGAAGAUGUCAACAGACAUCAGAGCCAGCACAGGAAGCAAGCGGGCAGUGGCGUGGGAUGGAACUAGGGCCAAUUGCCAGGUUUCCAAGAACUGAGUGGGGAGCUGCCAGGAUUGCAGCCAAGGCUGCAGGAGAUAAGGGCAUGGGGAUGGCACCUAACUGGCUCAGGCUAUUUCUCAAAGGCAGGAGCACCCACCAGCUUCCUUGACCCUGACUGUACCCAGUGCCUGACACCAACUUAUCUUUUCCAAUUUAUCUCCCUGGGUUCACAUCCUCCCACAACCAGAACCUAUUCUGUCAUUUAUACCCACACGUAUUCACAAAACGACCCAGGGGCAUUGCAAGAAAUAAAUACGUAAUGAAAUGAUGUUAAAAUAUGGAUAAAAACAAAUAUUAAGACCAGAGAAAACACUCAUCAGAGCAGAAAUUGAGCUUUUGGGGAGGAAAGGAGAAGAAACUCAAAUAUUCAAGCUGUGUGGUUCCUUGCUCUUGCUCAAGUUAAGCUCAAGUUUGAAGCUAAACUUCCAGUCAAAGUGAAAACGAAGGCAAGGUCAUUUACAUGGUCGUUACGGAGAGAAAAGAGGAAGUGCACCAGCUGCCAAGAAAACUUGUGGCCCUUUGCUAGCAAAGGUGUGGCAUGAAUUUUCAAAGUGGACUGCUUUCCAAUCCCUUAACCCCCCCUUUACUUCCCCCAUCACACCUGUGUUUAGGUGGUUGCAUCCAUCUAGCUUACAAGCAUGUAAGUGUCAAUCAAAAUCCUGCCCAAAUUUUAGAGCCCAUCUUAAGUAGUUUGGCACCCAUGAAGAAGGUGUCUUUUCCCUCCCUGGUCAGAAGUUUUUCCCCUUAAUUAUUUCUCUGCCUUGUUGUUGCUUCUUUCAUAGCACUCAUUAUAUUCUCUCACAUGUUACAAUUCAAUGUCUAUGUGUCUUGUCUUUCGUGAGGCAGCAUAGCCUAAUGGUUAGAGCAACAGCUCAGGAGUCAACCUCCCUGGGUUCUAGCUUGCCCCUCUCUGGCUGUGUAACCUUGGGCAACAUACUUGAUCCAUCUAAGCUUCAGUUUUUUUUCAUCUGUAAAAUGAGAAUCAUAAGAGCAUCAUCCUUGUUCUCUUAGCACGGCACUUGGCACAUGGUAAAUUAUCACAUUUUUAUCAGCAUCUUCAUAAUUAUCAUCUCAUCUCCUAGGGCUGUCAGUACAGUAGCCACUAGCCACAGGGAGCUCUUCAAAUCUAAAUUAAUUAUAAUCAAAUAAAGCUUAAAAGUCUUUUCCUUAGGGGUACUAGCCUCAUUUCAAGUGCCAGCUGUAGCUAGUGACUACCAUAUUGGACAGCCCAGAUACAGCAUAUUCCCACAAUCACAGAAAGUUCUAAAGUUCCCUCUAGAACGGGGACUAGCAAUUUUUUUUCUGUCAACGGUCAAAUAGGUAAUUAUUUUAGACUUUGUGGCCAUAAGGUCUUUGUUGCAACCACUCACCUUCACCACUAUAGUGUGAAAGCAGCAUAGACAACAAAUAAAUGAAUGGGCAUGGCUGUGUUCCAAUAAAAGUUGACUUAUGGACACUUUAAAGUAAAUUUCAUCUAAUUUUUAUGUCACAAAAUAUCAUUCUCCAUUCGAGCUUGUUUAGCCACUGAAAA
RNAcentral lists this long non-coding RNA (3310 nucleotides) under Homo sapiens (human). Its description in RNAcentral is "HSALNT0244314". The record is from RNAcentral. Lineage: Eukaryota; Metazoa; Chordata; Mammalia; Primates; Hominidae.